GAUGAACGCUGGCGGCGUGCCUAAUACAUGCAAGUCGAGCGAACAGAUGAGGAGCUUGCUCCUCUGACGUUAGCGGCGGACGGGUGAGUAACACGUGGAUAACCUACCUAUAAGACUGGGAUAACUUCGGGAAACCGGAGCUAAUACCGGAUAAUAUAUUGAACCGCAUGGUUCAAUAGUGAAAGACGGUUUUGCUGUCACUUAUAGAUGGAUCCGCGCCGCAUUAGUUAGUUGGUAAGGUAACGGCUUACCAAGGCAACGAUGCGUAGCCGACCUGAGAGGGGGAUCGGCCACACUGGAACUGAGACACGGCCCAGACUCCUACGGGAGGCAGCAGUAGGGAAUCUUCCGCAAUGGGCGAAAGCCUGACGGAGCAACGCCGCGUGAGUGAUGAAGGUCUUCGGAUCGUAAACCUCUGUUAUUAGGGAAGAACAAAUGUGUAAGUAACUAUGCACGUCUUGACGGUACCUAAUCAGAAAGCCACGGCUAACUACGUG
RNAcentral lists this ribosomal RNA (497 nucleotides) under uncultured bacterium. RNAcentral describes it as "partial 16S ribosomal RNA". It matches the Rfam family "Bacterial small subunit ribosomal RNA", at positions 28 to 507 of the family's 1533-position model. The record is from RNAcentral.